GACGAACGCUGGCGGCGUGCUUAACACAUGCAAGUCGAACGGAAAGGCCCUGCUUUUGUGGGGUGCUCGAGUGGCGAACGGGUGAGUAACACGUGAGUAACCUGCCCUUGACUUUGGGAUAACUUCAGGAAACUGGGGCUAAUACCGGAUAGGAGCUCCUGCUGCAUGGUGGGGGUUGGAAAGUUUCGGCGGUUGGGGAUGGACUCGCGGCUUAUCAGCUUGUUGGUGGGGUAGUGGCUUACCAAGGCUUUGACGGGUAGCCGGCCUGAGAGGGUGACCGGCCACAUUGGGACUGAGAUACGGCCCAGACUCCUACGGGAGGCAGCAGUGGGGAAGAUUGCACAGUGGGCGGAAGCCUGAUGCAGCAACGCCGCGUGCGGGAUGACGGCCUUCGGGUUGUAAACCGCUUUCGCCUGUGACGAAGCGUGAGUGACGGUAAUGGGUAAAGAAGCACCGGCUAACUACGUG
RNAcentral lists this ribosomal RNA (468 nucleotides) under uncultured bacterium. RNAcentral describes it as "partial 16S ribosomal RNA". It matches the Rfam family "Bacterial small subunit ribosomal RNA", at positions 28 to 507 of the family's 1533-position model. The record is from RNAcentral.